UCAUUUUACCAACCCUAUGGGUCCCAGAACCUCACUCCAUUCCUUCUUUCAGCUUUUUCCCAGAUAGAGCUACCAUAUCAAAUAUUUAUGUCUCUCCCUCACCCCACUUUCUCUCUCUCCCCACACCAAUCAUUAUUUUUUCUCCUUCCUCUUUUGUCUCAUUCUGCUCACUCUUCUCUUUUCUCUAUCUACCCUCUUCUCUUAUAAUCACUUUUCUUCUGUCCUAUUCUCUUCCAUUAUGCUCUAUUCUCCUUUCACCUCAUUUCAUCUGUUUCCCUGAGUUCUUCUUUGCUUCCCUCCCCAUUCAUCUCUCCUUCUCUCCUUCCCUCUAAAUUUCUUUUUUUUUCCUUCUCUUAUUUUUCUUCUCCCUUUCCCAACUACAGGGUAUACCCAUCAGAUACCAACCACCACCACAAACACCUGGAGACCCAGUCUAGAGGCUUUCACCCUGAACUUCACCAUCACCAACCUGCUGUACACAGAAGACAUGGGGCAGAAGGAUUCCAUCAAAUUCAAGUCCACUGAAAAGAUUCUUCAGAACAUGCUUGGCCCUUUGUUUGAGAACAGCAGCCUUGGCUCCAGUUAUUCCAGGUGCAAACUGACUUUCCUAAGGUGAGGC
Non-coding RNA from Monodelphis domestica (gray short-tailed opossum), 619 nucleotides. NCBI's taxonomy places the organism in Eukaryota, Metazoa, Chordata, Mammalia, Didelphimorphia, Didelphidae. The record is from RefSeq and is a predicted model, not a curated record.